GACGUAGGGUCCGAGCGUUGUCCGGAGUUACUGGGCGUAAAGGGCGCGUAGGCGGUUAUCUGCGUCACACGUGAAAGCCCCUGGCUCAACCAGGGAGGGUCGUGUGAAACGGGGUAACUGGAGGCAGAGAGAGGCUGGUGGAAUUCCCGGAGUAGUGGUGAAAUGCGUAGAGAUCGGGAGGAACACCGGUGGCGAAGGCGGCCAGCUGGCUCUGACCUGACGCUGAGGCGCGAAAGCGUGGGGAGCAAACAGG
Molecule: ribosomal RNA, 253 nt
Filed under: uncultured bacterium
Lineage: Bacteria
Description: partial 16S ribosomal RNA
Rfam family: Bacterial small subunit ribosomal RNA
Source: RNAcentral